CAACACUAUAGGAUAUAUAAUAAGCCUGCAGGUCACCACCCUGUGUGCUCCUAGUUCCUGCUCAUCUGGCAUUCAGGCAUGCUACAAUGACCCAGUGAUCCUGUGUGACAGGCCAGGCAGGGCUCUGGCUGUUUGUGUCAAUCCAGAUCAAUCACUCCCUCUUCUGGACGGACAACGUCAUCAACGUGCAAAAAGGUCACGAGGUGUACUCAAGCCAGGCCUGAUGUGAAGAGGUUGUGAUCUCUGGAGUCACUCACUGGGGCCCUGCUUUCCUCCUGUCAGUGAGAGGGUUUCACUGCUGUUAUACUUCAGGCUGUUAUUGUUGGCCCUCUUGCAGCUCCGGUCCUGGAAACCCAUUUUUGGUACUAGAAGGAUGCACGAAAAU
Sphaeramia orbicularis (orbiculate cardinalfish) is the source of this 385-nucleotide long non-coding RNA. RefSeq lists it as uncharacterized. The transcript is spliced from 3 exons. The record is from RefSeq and is a predicted model, not a curated record. Lineage: Eukaryota; Metazoa; Chordata; Actinopteri; Kurtiformes; Apogonidae.